ACGGGUGAGUAACGCGUGAGUAACCUGCCUUACACAAGGGGAUAGCCGUUGGAAACGACGAAUAAUACCCUAUGAAACUAUCACUUCGCAUGAAGCGAUAGUCAAAGUGUUAGCGGUGUAAGAUGGACUUGCGUCUGAUUAGCUAGUUGGUGAGAAAAAGCCACCAAGGCAACGAUCAGUAGCCGGCUUGAGAGAGUGUACGGCCACAUUGGGACUGAGACACGGCCCAG
Molecule: ribosomal RNA, 230 nt
Filed under: uncultured Eubacteriales bacterium
Lineage: Bacteria; Bacillati; Bacillota; Clostridia; Eubacteriales
Description: uncultured Clostridiales bacterium partial 16S ribosomal RNA
Rfam family: Bacterial small subunit ribosomal RNA
Source: RNAcentral